UGUGUAGAGGCGAGAAAGAUACCGUGUUGUGUCUUGGUAAAUUUCUCGCCUUUCACAAU
Molecule: microRNA precursor, 59 nt
Organism: Monodelphis domestica (gray short-tailed opossum)
Lineage: Eukaryota; Metazoa; Chordata; Mammalia; Didelphimorphia; Didelphidae
Product: mdo-mir-7398a-1
Source: Ensembl